RNAcentral lists this ribosomal RNA (2079 nucleotides) under Triticum aestivum (bread wheat). Its description in RNAcentral is "partial small subunit ribosomal RNA". The record is from RNAcentral. Lineage: Eukaryota; Viridiplantae; Streptophyta; Magnoliopsida; Poales; Poaceae.
AUGGAAGCAGCAGCUCCGUCCGCCGCACUGAGGGUCUACGGGCCGAGCAACUUCAGGGACGACGAGCUCGUCUUCAACAGCGGGGAGAUAGGGAGGCUAGAGUCGGAGCUUCGCGCCAAGAUCGAGAGCUGCUACGGGCGGGUGAGGCAGCUCCCCGGGGUCCUCGACGCCGGCUUCUGCUUCGGCCUCCUGGACCCCGUUUCCAACAUCGUCGCCGGCGCCUCCAUCGCCCGCGCCGCCGUCGAAGCCAAGGAGGAGGAGGAGGAGGAGGAGCGUUCUCUCCCGGGGGCGCGGCUGGGCGAGCCAGAUCUGAUCGGGGACAUGAACCGGCGGUCGUUCCACGGCCUCGUCGACUUCCUGACCGCCCUCUUCCCGCACCUCACCAACGCCAUGGCCCGGCUGGAUCCCCUCGUCGCCGCCCUCCUCAUCGUCAAGCGCCGCGGCAUGGAGCGGAGCUUCGGCUUCGCGUCCGACACCACCGCGGCCGCCGUCGAGACUGCCCUCAGAUGCGCCGCGGCCUCCGCCCAGCACCCCAAUCCCAGCCAGUUCGCGCUAGGGUGGAAGUUGCUUUCGCAUUCCGAACUCAACAAUGUCGCCGCCGUGCUGCCAUCGUCGGCCAACUCCGAUUACUCUGACGAGUCCUUUGCCGCUGCCAUUGCCAUGGUAGAUGAUGUUCUGCUCAAGAAACAGCCUCAGCCCACCUCAGUUUUAAGCCUGGAGAAAUCAUGGGAGCUUGCCUCUGCUCGCCUCCGCAACCUCGGUCCAGACCUGUCUCCCAUCGUCUUAGAGAAGAAGGUGUUUCUUGAGCGGGCAGCCGUCUGGCGUAUGCUCCUCACCACCAUCCAUGGAUACUAUCUUCAGGCACUGGCCAGGCUGCCCAAGGACAAGCUGCAGUCUCACUACCACCACAGCUUGCUUCAGGCCGGGCACUGCUACGGCCCGCUGGAUCCUGUCGGCAACAUCAUCCUCAACACCAUCUGGUAUAGCCGAGCCUACCCUCCAGCGAAGAAUGUCGAGAUAUCGGCGAUCAGCACCAGAGGCCUUCUGCGGAUCGCUGUCCGGUCCUUAUAUGGUCUUGUCUCCUUUCUCUGCACCCGGUGUGCCGCGACACACCUCACGCCUGAUGAAGCAAUUCGACGACUGCAGGCUGUCGCUGCUGAUCUCCGACUCGCUGAUCCCAACCUCCUCCUUGAUGAUGAUAAGAACGAUGAUGAUAUGGUGGUAUCUGCCACUGUCGAACAAGCCUACACUGCUGCGGCUGCAGCGGCUCGACACCCUGAGCCUCAUCACCAGGUAGAGCUUCUCAGGCCAUGUAAUUCAGUGUUGCGGAUGGCCUCCGACCGUCUCAAAGGUGAUGCCAUGCUCCCCCAUGAGGAUGCUGAGCACCUCUCUGAAUCCAUGAGGAUGCUGAGCAUGUUAUUAUCAGAACACCAGCAGCAGCCAGAAACAAAGAUCAAGGUUCUAGACCGGUGGGCACACAUAAGGGUGCAACAUCGGAUUAACAAGUUCUGGGACCAGCAUGCUAGGCUCGUCGGAAUGGCGAAAUCUGCAAUGGACUCAUACAGCAAUGAACUUGGGGUACCCAGUUACAAGCUCCAUGUUAUCUGCGGUGCCAAUGAGUAUGUUGAUGGUCCUGUGUGCACAAGGCCUGGCAAAGGCUACUACCGUUGCUCCCACAUCAACUUCCUUGCUGCCCAAUCUGCUGCUACACCUCCGACGCUCUUCUUUGCUGAAUGUGCCAAUGAUGGCACAGAGGUACGCUUGUGCUGCCCUGUGCGUGUGCUGCCUCCAGGCACUGAACAAGUCCGUUGCAUGUACUGUGAGUACCAUGGGUGUAGGAUUGUACACCCAACAAGGGAGAGUUUCCGUGGGCGCGACAUUGAGUUUGAGAAGAUGCUGUGUGGAGUGUAUUCACAGUCAUUCACCAACAAUGGGAUCAUCGCACACAGCCGCGAGGUAAGUGGCUGUGUUGGUGCUGUGGUUGACGACUGCAUCUACGACGUCUACCGACUUGACGAUACACCUAUAAAGGCAGAGGACUUUGUACGCAUGUCAGAUGCUAAUGUGGUGUUUGACUGA